RNAcentral lists this transfer RNA (76 nucleotides) under Desulfovibrio sp. RNAcentral describes it as "tRNA-Pro". It matches the Rfam family "tRNA". From Rfam's summary of the family: Transfer RNA (tRNA) molecules are approximately 80 nucleotides in length. Their secondary structure includes four short double-helical elements and three loops (D, anti-codon, and T loops). The record is from RNAcentral. Lineage: Bacteria; Pseudomonadati; Thermodesulfobacteriota; Desulfovibrionia; Desulfovibrionales; Desulfovibrionaceae.
CGGAGCGUGGCGCAGUUGGCAGCGCGCCUGGUUUGGGACCAGGAGGUCGAAGGUUCAAAUCCUUUCGCUCCGACCA